CGCUGGCGGCACGCCUAACACAUGCAAGCUCGAGCGCUCACUUCGGUGGGAGCGGCGGACGGGUUAGUAACGCGUGGGAACAUACCCUUUACUACGGAAUAGCCUUUGGAAACGAAGAGUAAUACCGUAUACGCCCUACGGGGGAAAGAUUUAUCGGUAAAGAAUUGGCCCGCGUUAGAUUAGAUAGUUGGUGGGGUAACGGCCUACCAAGUCUACGAUCUAUAGCUGGUUUGAGAGGAUGAUCAGCAACACUGGGACUGAGACACGGCCCAGACUCCUACGGGAGGCAGCAGUGGGGAAUCUUAGACAAUGGGGGAAACCCUGAUCUAGCGAUGCCGCGUGUGUGACGAAGGCCUUAGGGUCGUAAAGCACUUUCGCCAGAGAUGAUAAUGACAGUAUCUGGUAAAGAAGCCCCGGCUAACUCCGUGCCAGCAGCCGCGGUAAUACGGAGGGGGUUAGCGUUGUUCGGAAUUACUGGGCGUAAAGCGUACGUAGGCGGAUUAGUAAGUUAGAGGUGAAAUCCCAGGGCUCA
This 532-nucleotide ribosomal RNA is filed under the name uncultured Alphaproteobacteria bacterium. RNAcentral describes it as "bacterial SSU rRNA". It matches the Rfam family "Bacterial small subunit ribosomal RNA", at positions 34 to 611 of the family's 1533-position model. The record is from RNAcentral. Lineage: Bacteria; Pseudomonadati; Pseudomonadota; Alphaproteobacteria.